Molecule: ribosomal RNA, 204 nt
Filed under: uncultured Vannella
Lineage: Eukaryota; Discosea; Flabellinia; Vannellidae
Description: partial Bacterial large subunit ribosomal RNA
Rfam family: Bacterial large subunit ribosomal RNA
Source: RNAcentral
GUGCGGAUCCGUAGCGAAAGCGAGUCUGAAUAGGGCGCUUAGUUAGUAGUGGUAGACGCGAAACCGUGUGAUCUACCCAUGGGCAGGGUGAAGCUGUGGUAACACAUAGUGGAGGCCCGAACCGGUUGACGUUGAAAAGUCUUCGGAUGACCUGUGGGUAGGGGUGAAAGGCCAAUCAAACUCCGUGAUAGCUGGUUCUCCCCG